Molecule: long non-coding RNA, 452 nt
Filed under: Lathyrus oleraceus (garden pea)
Lineage: Eukaryota; Viridiplantae; Streptophyta; Magnoliopsida; Fabales; Fabaceae
Description: Pisum sativum (pea) long non-coding RNA (PSAT_LNC040800)
Source: RNAcentral
AGAAUCGGAUUCCGGAAGUUUUUCUUCUCCUUCCCUCUCGUUCGUACAACAGUUCUCAAAUUCCUCUUCUCCUAACUUCUCUCCGCUACUGUUUCUUUUUUUUUUCUAUCACUUCUUUUAUUUUCUCUUUAUUAAAUUAACUAAAUAUCCUAAUCUCUAAUGGGCCUAAUAUAACACCUCUCAUUUUACUAAUUAGCACACAAUGAUAAGCCCACUUACUCAAAUAACACCACAAUUAUAUUAUUAUUUCUUAUAAUAAUUUCUACGACUUUCGACUAAUUUCCGACUAACCACAAUAAUUACGUAAAUAUUAAAAAUAACAAAUAAUUAUUUUUGGGCGUUACAUGUAUCAUAUCGAAGAAGCAUCUUAUAUUUUAGAAUUAAGACAUUUCGAACAAGGUAAUGAUACCUUAAUUGAAUCUAAGGCUCUAUAAGGAUACUAGAGCAGUAUC